This 247-nucleotide long non-coding RNA is filed under the name Capsicum annuum. RNAcentral describes it as "long non-coding RNA (CANN_LNC002486)". The record is from RNAcentral. Lineage: Eukaryota; Viridiplantae; Streptophyta; Magnoliopsida; Solanales; Solanaceae.
GUUCUCUACCGAAACUGUCUCUAUCUCAUUCCAGAGGACUAUUAACCAGGGUCUCUAGGUCUUCAUCAGUUCUUCCAGAGAUACAAACUACCAGAAAUUCAGUUUCCUCAUUUCCUUCUAGAGUUGACGCUGUUAAUUUAAAAUCUAGGAUUCCUCAAUCCAAAUAUUUAGUGGAAACACCUCUAACUAAAAUCCAUGACGACAAACCCCAAUCUCCAACUUACUUGGCCUUAGGUGCAGAGCUAGG